This 252-nucleotide ribosomal RNA is filed under the name uncultured bacterium. Its description in RNAcentral is "partial 16S ribosomal RNA". It matches the Rfam family "Bacterial small subunit ribosomal RNA", at positions 524 to 776 of the family's 1533-position model. The record is from RNAcentral.
UACGUAGGGAGCGAGCGUUGUCCGGAAUUACUGGGUGUAAAGGGAGCGUAGGCGGGGAUGCAAGUUGGGUGUUAAAUCUACCGGCUCAACUGGUAGUCGCACUCAAAACUGCAGCUCUUGAGUGAAGUAGAGGCAGGCGGAAUUCCUAGUGUAGCGGUGAAAUGCGUAGAUAUUAGGAGGAACACCAGUGGCGAAGGCGGCUUACUGGACUGUAACUGACGUUGAGGCCCGAAAGCGUGGGGAGCAAACAGG